UGUUUCGUAUUUCUGCCAGAAAAUACGAGCGACCACGCCUCCACCCCAUCUGGAUCCGCCGCCGACCGGCGUCCUCAACCACGCCAUCCACCGCCGUGCCGUCCUCCCCGCACCGCAGACUGCCUCCUCUCUGUCGUGCCCUCUUCCUCGCGCCGCCCGAGUCCUCCGCGCGCGGUUCGCCGACGCCGAGGCCCAGGCCAGCCUGCUCCGGGCCCGCGCCACCGACCGCGACGGGCUGCUCAGCACGCUCCUCGCCACCACGGGCAACGACCGGGAGGUGGAGGACGCGCGGGAGGCGGGGUAGCGUCAGAAUCAGCGCACGUCGGAUCCGGCAUGCUGCUCCGCUCCCUUCCCAAGUCGCCCUGGAUCUCGCGAUGCUGGAGGUGGCCGCCGUCGUUGCUAUGGAGGGCUCGCCACCCGCCUUCGGAGUCCCAUGUCCCCGAGAUCGACGGGAUUGCCAAGCCGAGGUCAUCAUCUUUCGACAGGCUCCUUCAUCACUUCUGGUUUCCCACAGUGGCUAUGGGCUGCCUCUCCCUCUCGAUCCUGCGCUCCUCCUCCUCCGGUUCAGGUUUCAGGCCGUGGCAGAGGGUCGCCUCUCCAUAUCCAUCCUUCCAAUCUGGAGCACAGGUGGAGAGCCUGGCUGUGUGCGGCGGAGAUGGCGCCCGCAUCUGCGCCCUAUAAGCCCGGACAAAGCUCCUCCGAGGCCAUGACCUCCGCAGGUAUCGAUCUAAAAAAGGCCGACAACCCAAUGGAACCUCUCCCUGUCUCUUUCUUCUGCAUCUUCCUCAUACUAUCCACUGGAAUCUUAGUUUUUGUAGUUAGCUAGCAAAGACUCAAUUGCUGCAUUUUUUGACUGUACAUCUUCAUAUAGGAUUCGAUAGCCAUGCCCUGGAGAGAAAGCUCACAAAUUAGUGCAGUUAACAAGAAGCAAUUGAACCGAAGAUCUUACAAGAUGGCUUGCAAAUCUAGGUAUCAAACAGAAUUUCGGUAAUAUAUAUUAUGUAUACGGUACUUGGAAGGGAUGCUUACCAGGUAAAUACCACUUAAAAUCUAGGUCCAGUAACUAUCCAGUUGCAGAUUCACUGCAAGUUUGUGCGACAGAUAUACAUACAUAUAUAUAUAUAUAUAUAUAUAUAUAUAUAUAUAUAUAUAGAGAGAGAUCAACUAGGAUUUAGGUUUAACUCUAUGGUACAAUUGAAAGACUAAGGAGAAGAGGGUGGAUUGUACUACCUGAUUGCUUGCUGUACAUCCGAAAGAGAUUCAGUUGCUCUGAAUAUUCUGAUUUGCCACAUGGUCGCCAGUGUGAAUAGCGCCUUCAUGAGCGAAUCUUUUAAUGACGUAAUUACCAUCCAGCCAUCCUGCCUUUCCAACGAACAACAUACAAGCUUUGUUCUCUGAAGUUUAAGAAUAGUGCAACCAUCUUGCCUUUCCAAAGAAUAACAUAUAUAUUUUUAACCUUAAUAGUGCAGCCAGCUAGCUGUAGUGCACUUAUCUCUAAGCCCAGCUCCUCUUUAAUCCAUAAACUUAUCCGUAACCAAAGGCUAGACGUAUAUUCAACUAAUUCUAUUCAUUGAGUUGAGUUUCUUACUUCGGUAUGGCAUGGGGUAUAGUAAGUUCCAUUUCAAUGUUCCAGGGACCACUUCCAGUAAGUUUCCACUCGACAUCAGCAGUAAUGUCCACUACCUGUAUCAGCAUGGUUAUAGCGGUAGAUAAUCAGGGCAAAUAUCAUAAGCAAAUUACAACUUUAGAAUCUCUGAAUUCUAAUAGAUUUCUAAUAUCCUUCAAAACAUGAUGUGUGAGCGCUCUUUAGAUAUUCCAGUAAGUUUCUUUCUACAGGUGUUCUUACAUCUCCUGAAUGGAUGAUUCUCUUUGCAUUUCGGCCGCUCGGCCCACUUCCGAUGAUCCACUACAUCAUCACUGUUUGGUAACCGGAGGGGAGGCCGCAAGGCGGGACAGCCAGUAGCGGCAUUCUGUUCGGGGAUGCGUGGAUCUGGUGAUGCUGGAGCUUGGGAACAGGAAACAUCAUAUCCGCAUGGCGUUUCAAAUAGCCAAUUUACCUUUCUCCCUAAAGGAUUCUUGCUCUGCUGUCAGUAUCACUGGUCUUGGGGUUUAGAUUUUGUCAAUAUCAAAAUCUGGGUACUUACCAGCAAACGAGUUGUUGAUCUAUUUACUUAGUCAAGUUCAUUUCUGCUAUGUUCUUCAGUCAAGCUUCAACUUCUAGCCUUGAUUAAAUGGCAAUGAUAUUCUCCAAAACCUACUAAUGUCAGAAAUCCUGCUACCCAACAGGAUGGUCUGCCAAGUGAUGUGAGCACUACUCAGUGUGUGGCAGACGUUCAUUAGGAAUGCAAACAAGAUUUGAGAUGUAGGUGUUGGUCAAAUUCUGGAAAAUUAUGGGUCUGCAGAGGGAACAUAGUUUGAUGGGACAGCUCCUGAAUCAAUGUCACAUAAGGCAACAACAUAUUUGGAGGAGUUGAAGGAGUUGAGAUGAGUUGAUCACAUCCUCAUGUGUCUUUGCAUGUUGCAACAGGGGUGGUGUACUUUUUUUUAUAGCAACAUUCCUACUUUAGAUAGAAGAACUUAUGGGGCACAUCAGAUGUACUGACCACUCCUUAGUCCCAAGAACGGGAGUAACAAUUUUUCUCAAGUUCUGCUGAUGUAUUGUACUAGAAGUCUGUUCAUCAAACUGCCUUAUCAACCAUUUGCUAUUAACCCUCAAACAUCUAACUUUUUUUU
Molecule: long non-coding RNA, 2733 nt
Organism: Triticum dicoccoides
Lineage: Eukaryota; Viridiplantae; Streptophyta; Magnoliopsida; Poales; Poaceae
Exons: 3
Source: RefSeq, a predicted model, not a curated record